UCAAUGGCGGCUGUACGUGGGAGGCCUUCGGGCCUGCCGGGUUCCUACAUCCACGGUCUUGCACACCCACGUACAGCUGCCUCCA
Molecule: non-coding RNA, 85 nt
Filed under: Pseudomonas mosselii
Lineage: Bacteria; Pseudomonadati; Pseudomonadota; Gammaproteobacteria; Pseudomonadales; Pseudomonadaceae
Source: RNAcentral